RNAcentral lists this ribosomal RNA (1762 nucleotides) under Salmonella enterica. Its description in RNAcentral is "partial 23S ribosomal RNA". It matches the Rfam family "Bacterial large subunit ribosomal RNA", at positions 1 to 1610 of the family's 2925-position model. The record is from RNAcentral. Lineage: Bacteria; Pseudomonadati; Pseudomonadota; Gammaproteobacteria; Enterobacterales; Enterobacteriaceae.
GGGUUGUGAGGUUAAGCGACUAAGCGUACACGGUGGAUGCCCUGGCAGUCAGAGGCGAUGAAGGGCGUGCUAAUCUGCGAUAAGCGCCGGUAAGGUGAUAUGAACCGUUAUAACCGGCGAUACCCGAAUGGGGAAACCCAGUGUGAUUCGUCACACUAUCAUUAACUGAAUCCAUAGGUUAAUGAGGCGAACCGGGGGAACUGAAACAUCUAAGUACCCCGAGGAAAAGAAAUCAACCGAGAUUCCCCCAGUAGCGGCGAGCGAACGGGGAGGAGCCCAGAGCCUGAAUGAGCAUGUGUGUUAGUGGAAGCGUCUGGAAAGGCGCGCGAUACAGGGUGACAGCCCCGUACACAAAAGCGCAUGUGCUGUGAGCUCGAUGAGUAGGGCGGGACACGUGGUAUCCUGUCUGAAUAUGGGGGGACCAUCCUCCAAGGCUAAAUACUCCUGACUGACCGAUAGUGAACCAGUACCGUGAGGGAAAGGCGAAAAGAACCCCGGCGAGGGGAGUGAAAAAGAACCUGAAACCGUGUACGUACAAGCAGUGGGAGCCCCACCACUAAGCCAGUGGUGAACUCCACAUCCGCAUCCUUUGCUGAGGAUACGGUUAACGGAGCGAAAGCGACGUUCAACCGCAAAACAAGCAGAGGGGGCUUAGUGGUGGGGUGACUGCGUACCUUUUGUAUAAUGGGUCAGCGACUUAUAUUCUGUAGCAAGGUUAACCGAAUAGGGGAGCCGGAGGGAAACCGAGUCUUAAUUGGGCGUUAAGUUGCAGGGUAUAGACCCGAAACCCGGUGAUCUAGCCAUGGGCAGGUUGAAGGUUGGGUAACACUAACUGGAGGACCGAACCGACUAAUGUUGAAAAAUUAGCGGAUGACCUGUGGCUGGGGGUGAAAGGCCAAUCAAACCGGGAGAUAGCUGGUUCUCCCCGAAAGCUAUUUAGGUAGCGCCUCGUGAAUUCAUCUCCGGGGGUAGAGCACUGUUUCGGCUAGGGGGCCAUCCCGGCUUACCAACCCGAUGCAAACUGCGAAUACCGGAGAAUGUUAUCACGGGAGACACACGGCGGGUGCUAACGUCCGUCGUGAAGAGGGAAACAACCCAGACCGCCAGCUAAGGUCCCAAAGUCAUGGUUAAGUGGGAAACGAUGUGGGAAGGCCCAGACAGCCAGGAUGUUGGCUUAGAAGCAGCCAUCAUUUAAAGAAAGCGUAAUAGCUCACUGGUCGAGUCGGCCUGCGCGGAAGAUGUAACGGGGCUAAACCAUGCACCGAAGCUGCGGCAGCGAACGUAUCACCCAAGACAACUUUACGGAGUUGACGAUUGACGGAGCGAAGCGACGUCAAAGCGUUCAUUAAAGUCGAGUUGGCUUAGGGAUACGUUCGUUGGGUAGGGGAGCGUUCUGUAAGCCUGUGAAGGUGUGUCGUGAGGCAUGCUGGAGGUAUCAGAAGUGCGAAUGCUGACAUAAGUAACGAUAAAGCGGGUGAAAAGCCCGCUCGCCGGAAGACCAAGGGUUCCUGUCCAACGUUAAUCGGGGCAGGGUGAGUCGACCCCUAAGGCGAGGCCGAAAGGCGUAGUCGAUGGGAAACGGGUUAAUAUUCCCGUACUUGGUGUUACUGCGAAGGGGGGACGGAGAAGGCUAUGUUGGCCGGGCGACGGUUGUCCCGGUUUAAGCGUGUAGGUGUGUGUUCCAGGUAAAUCCGGUUCACUUUAACACUGAGGCGUGAUGACGAGGCACUACGGUGCUGAAGCAACAAAUGCCCUGCUUCCA